This 371-nucleotide ribosomal RNA is filed under the name uncultured bacterium. Its description in RNAcentral is "bacterial SSU rRNA". It matches the Rfam family "Bacterial small subunit ribosomal RNA", at positions 527 to 896 of the family's 1533-position model. The record is from RNAcentral.
GUAGGUGGCAAGCGUUAUCCGGAUUUAUUGGGCGUAAAGCGAGCGCAGGCGGUCUUUUAAGUCUAAUGUGAAAGCCUUCGGCUCAACCGAAGAAGUGCAUUGGAAACUUGGAGACUUGAGUGCAGAAGAGGACAGUGGAACUCCAUGUGUAGCGGUGAAAUGCGUAGAUAUAUGGAAGAACACCAGUGGCGAAGGCGGCUGUCUGGUCUGUAACUGACGCUGAGGCUCGAAAGCAUGGGUAGCGAACAGGAUUAGAUACCCUGGUAGUCCAUGCCGUAAACGAUGAUUACUACGUGUUGGAGGGUUUCCGCCCUUCAGUGCUGCAGCUAACGCAUUAAGCAUUCCGCCUGGGGAGUACGACCGCAGGGUUG